AUGUUGACGGUGUUUGUUGGCUUGUGGCUGUCCAUGACAUUGAAGCUAGCUACGGUUGAUGUUGUUGAUGUUUCUUACUUAGUUUCCACAGUCAGUAGGUGCUACUGUUCUUUCAUGGUGGAUUGUUUUCUGGUACUUCUGCAUACCUGGAUCUGUGUCAUAUUCAUGCAUAAUGGUUGGGUGAUAACUAACAAUAUGGAGCUAGAAGGACAUACAAAAAUAGAGGCUUACCAUUGCACUGAGAAGAUAGUUUUAUUUUUACGAUAUUGUUUAAAUCCUGCUUUUGUAAAUUUGUGUUGA
This 300-nucleotide ribosomal RNA is filed under the name Triticum aestivum (bread wheat). RNAcentral's name for it is "partial small subunit ribosomal RNA". Lineage: Eukaryota; Viridiplantae; Streptophyta; Magnoliopsida; Poales; Poaceae. The record is from RNAcentral.